Long non-coding RNA from Calidris pugnax (ruff), 3420 nucleotides. RefSeq lists it as uncharacterized. NCBI's taxonomy places the organism in Eukaryota, Metazoa, Chordata, Aves, Charadriiformes, Scolopacidae. The record is from RefSeq and is a predicted model, not a curated record. The transcript has 2 exons.
UUAAGAGAACAGCCAAGGAUGUUGUUGAUGGGCAGCGUACAGCUGGAUCCCACACGGUACAUUCCUGCAUAAAAGAUUUAUGCUGAAGAUCUGACUGUGCAGUUGUUGUGAGUUCUGUUGGCAAGAAAUACAUGUUUACAGCUUUAGAUCAGCCACCUAGUUUCAUAGAUGGAAAUUUGACCUAAAAACAUCCCAUGAAGAGUUCCAAUCUGCGUACUCUGUCUCCCAAAAGGAUUUCAGGUUCCCCUGUGGAUAACAACCAUUGCUAAGUGCACAAGGAUAAGCUGAAUUUUGAUAAAGCUUUUUUAAUUUUACCGAAGCAAAGUACUUGGGGGGUUGUUUUCAUCUCAGAAGGUGAGGGCAGUAGGGCUCACAAAAGCUGGUUUGCCAGGGAGGGAAGAGCCAACAAAUGACAUGCAAAUGCCAGUGCAGCUGUGGAUACCAGCCACGUGUCUGUGUCCCCCCAGGAGCUUUUUGUACAUCGUUAGGGAGUGUGUCCCAGGGUGGCAGCAUGGCUCUAAUUCCACUGACCUUGUGGGUUUUUUUCAUUAUUGCUGUUAUUUUGGAGGAGUUGGAAUUGCGCCUUUGGCACUGGGAAGCUCCCAGACUUACCCACUUACCAGUUUGUGAAACUCUGCCCAGAGAACACCCUAGAUCCAUGUAUUUUUUUAAACUCUGCUGUUUCCUAGACCAGCCACUGGCACUGGGGACCCCUCGGGCAGCAGAGAGGCUGAUGUUGCUCUUAAAUCCCCCCUCUUGCCUGACCAUGUCGAGCAGGGAGCUGUGACCCUCAGGACACCACCCAACGCCGUUGGGUUUCAUGACACAAUUAUCACUCCACACUUGCAGAACAUCUUCCAUCUUCUGUACAUCUUCUUCUGUAAUUUUGAUUAGUUCUCUCCUUCCCAAACUGCGUACUGGCGUGAGCAGUUGAUGCAGAUAAUGACAGAUUCUAAAUGGUGGGAUAAUUUGUAGAACAAUACAUUAUUGACAUACUCAAUAGAAUAUAUUACUCAUUUGUUAUCAUUAUACAUUGCGCCAUCUCAGAUUAAAGCUGGAAUAAAAGAGCUUGAUUGAUGUUACCUUCUUCCUUUAAAUGUAAUUCUGCCCUACAAUAUUAACCAAAAAAAUCAGAUCUUUUCUCUCAUCAGGUCUUUUUUAAGCCUGAAAAACCUCGUUUCUAGGGAACACAAAUAAAAAUGUGAGGCAGGUGCCAGCAGAAGAGGUGACAGGCUUUGCUUGUGUGGCAGGUUUUGUACAGGACCAGCAGCCAGCCCCACGUGAACGUGCUGAACACGGACAGGACCACGGCUGAGCUCUGGCUCCAGUUUAAUGAUGAUUACAUCAUAGAAGUAAAAGCAACGAGUGAUGGCGGAGAUGGCAGCAGCAGCGACCAGAUCCUGAUUCCCAGACUGGCCAGUAUGGAUGCAAGAGGUUCUGGUCUAUCAGUCUUGAACAUCUUCAGCGUGUCCAGCUUCCUACUGACAAUCCUUUCCUUGACUCUUCAUUCAGUGUUGUGAUGAUACAUUUGCAUUUGCUGGGGGAAAGAAAAAAAGAAUUGGUUACUACAGAAAAGUGCUUUUUUAAAAAAAAAAAACUGCAGUGGUUAAUGCAUGUUUUUCUUCUAUCCUGACGUGUUUUUAAAUUCUUUAUAUUUCACUGUAGGUUGAAGUAAAAAUAUCAUAUAAAGUUUAGCAAAUCCUUUAAAAAGGAAUCUAAAAUGCCUUAAUACUUGAACCAAAGGAGUUUACAUAUUACAUACUUCAGAUACAAUGUAAGAGGGGGAGAGCAAUGGUACUGGGAUGGGAGUUACAUAAAGCUUAGCUCAGUGAGAAACUCCAUUUUUGCAGUGACACUGAAUUCUUUGGGGUAGGUCCUGCCUUGUUCCUAUAACAUUCUGCAUAAUGGAGGUGAAAGCAGAGCCGUGGCAUUUCGGCCGGAUGGUAACACCUCGACCAAGGGGCUGCUCUUAGGACAGUGUCAUCAUCCGGUAGGUUUGCACUCGUUUUCUUACUGCCCUUUAGAGAAGUUAUUAUAAAUCUAGCAAGAAAUCAAAGAAAAGUCACAGUAUAGAUGUUAGUUUUGCACCGUCCAUCUUGGGGUGUCCAAGAGGCUUCCACUCUUAGGAACUGAUUUCCCAGCCGUGUUUCAAAGAAAGCUCUCUGUUCCUUUUCAGACACCUGCCCUUCCUCUCCAUCAAUAGAUUUAGAAGUUAAUUUCCUAAUAUCUCCUAUUCUUAUAUUUCUUAACCAGGUUCUUUGUUCAUAAUCAAGUUCUCCCACCUUCAGCAUCAUUUUUGUUGCCCUUCUCUGAGCUCCUGUCAGUGUUCCACUAACAAAAGUGCCCAGUGGGAAGCAUUAUAGAAAUGCAGUUGCACCAUGGCCUUAUGAAAGGGGACUCCUGCCACCUCCCUGCCCUGUCACGUGGGGCUUCCAGUUAUGCAGCCCCAAAUUAUCUUGCUCUUUUAUCUGCCACACUGCUCUGUAAACUCACCCUUAAUUCAGUGUUACGUUCGUAAUUCUCCUUCCUGCUGCUCUUUAACCAAUUCAAAACUUAAUGUACCCCGUUACUGUCAUAUGAGCCUGGUAAGUUUAUGGCAAUACUAUAGGUUAUAAUAAACAAAUUACACAAAACCACUUCAAGCUUGCUAUUAUAGAGAAAUCUAUGCUUUCUUUCAUAGCAAUAUGUUAAAGAUACAUUAAAUCUGGUACAUUUGACUUCUGCAGUUGUGACUUAAGUCAAAGUCAGCCUUUUAGACACCCUUUAGAGAGCUGCCCACAGUAGAGCAAGUGUUCAUGUGACAUAAAACAUAUCCUUCUAAAGAGGUUUGGUUUUUUUUAAUCUCACAGUAUUACCACAACACAGAAAUGUAAAGGGAGAGAACCAGGAUUCAUGAAAUGAUGGUAGCACUGUAGAAAAAAAUACCUUGAUAUGCAUUCAAAUAGCAAAUUACCUUAUUAGUAUCACAUCCAGAUGAAAGUACCUGCUAACUGUUGAAGUAAGCGAGAUCUGUAUAUACUGUACAUAAAUAGUUAUAAAUGGCUAGUUGCUUUUCAAUGUGGCUAACCAGUGAUGUUCUCAGACACUUGCAAAUGGGGGGGAGGGGGAGGGCGGGAGAUGGAAAACCAGGUGUUACUAGUAAAUAUAUAGUUAUGUUUCAUGCAACAAAGGGUGAAUCUUUCUAUUCUUGUUUCACAAAAUUCUAGUCCAUGUUCCUGUAUUGCCAUUUUCACGCAAUUACAUUGUAUUGUUUGAUUUCUAGUUAUAUAUCUCCAUGAGAUAUGUACCGAGUACUUUGUUUCAUAUUGAAAAGUUUGAAAUUUAUCCUUAAAACUUCCAGUUGUGUGUGUAUCCUAUGGUUAUCUGUAUGCAUUUUUUUCUAUUACUCUAAUAAAAUAUUUAUUACAUUGAGGGAUACUA